Molecule: long non-coding RNA, 574 nt
Filed under: Phoenix dactylifera (date palm)
Lineage: Eukaryota; Viridiplantae; Streptophyta; Magnoliopsida; Arecales; Arecaceae
Description: long non-coding RNA (PDAC_LNC021443)
Source: RNAcentral
GGCACAGCUAAAAUAUCGCGUGCAAUUGCAGACAUAACAGGAUAUUGAUUUCUAACACUCUUCCACCAAGAUAAUACAUCUAGAUUCUCUAUUUGAUUUUUUUUGGUGAAAAAUAGGAGGGGAGGGGGAGGGACCAGCCCACCCGCGUAGCAGCCCCAUUACUGGGCCCCCCUUCCACUAGGGAAUGUUCGAUACAGGUCGCAGGUUUCGCGUGCCUUCCCCGACCCGUGGGCUCACCCCAUUGGGUUCACCGCCUCACGUGUGGGUACGUCACCCCAGCGCCACCUUGAUACAAGUGGAAGGAAAGCAUAACCGCCAACAAGCCAGCCGGGCGUGGGGCAUCCGGUCCCCUAAUUUAAUCGACGCCCGCGCGUUUCGAACCCGGACAACUUGGGCGGAAUUAUCGCCCCCUUACCACCAGGCUACUACCUUGGUGGCAUUCUCUAUUUGAUUUUCAUCAUAUGCAGAAUGAAGAUCAUUUCGUAAAUAAAAUUCUAGUUCACUACUUAAAGAUGAAGAAGAUGAAGAGGAACUUGAAGCAUGUGUGUGUCUUCUCUGUGCAAUGAAUGAAAAA